GAUAAUGUCUAUAGAACAAGAUAGGAUACCGUUUAUCCUUAGACACUCAUUAUCAUGGCACCUCUAGGACUUGUUUGUACUUGUAUGUAGCCUAUACGUGUGUGUGUGUGUGUGCACGUGUUUGUGUACAUGUGCGUGUGUGUGCGCGUGUGUGUAUAUGUGAAUGUGUGUUACUACUUGACUGACCCAAAUAGAGGCCCAGAUAUGGAUUGCACUGGGCAUACUGAGGAGUCAGGAGGCCAGCUAACCAACCAGGCAGGCAGGGGGAGGACAGGGGCACAAAUAACCACCAACCACAACACACCCAGGGAGAGCUGGGCGGACUGGUGAGGCCUUAUUCAGGAUUGGCCAUUUAUAUUUUAAUUGUUUUCAAUGGCUUUGGUGAGGACAGCCAGGCUGUACACCCAUUGAUCAAUUCAUCUAUGAUCGUGUCUUUGAUGAGCCACCUCCAAGCCAUGAGCCAUCUGAAUUAUUGGACCGUGUUGCUUGGCGGCCAUUUUUAAGCUUGGUGGCUCACUGACAGUCCAUCGAAUUUAUUGAUAUUUGCUGAGCUACCGAGGUUAGAAGGUCGGCUUAGGUGGGGGGGAGCUGUUGUAACCUUCUGAUCACAGAGCCAUUUACAACUCCCUGUCCCGCAUUCCACAUCUCUCAAGGUCAGACCCCAGCAUACCACAUCUCUCAAAGUCAGGUCACAGCAUACCACAAUCUCUCAAGGUCAGACCACAGCAUACCACAUCUCUCAAGGUCAGACCACAGCAUACCACAUCUCCCUAGGUCAGACCAAAGCAUACCACAUCUCUCAAGGUCAGACCAAAGCAUACCACAUCUCUCAAGGUCAGAC
Oncorhynchus tshawytscha (Chinook salmon) is the source of this 841-nucleotide long non-coding RNA. Lineage: Eukaryota; Metazoa; Chordata; Actinopteri; Salmoniformes; Salmonidae. The record is from Ensembl.